Molecule: long non-coding RNA, 309 nt
Organism: Passer domesticus (house sparrow)
Lineage: Eukaryota; Metazoa; Chordata; Aves; Passeriformes; Passeridae
Exons: 4
Source: RefSeq, a predicted model, not a curated record
CAAAGGACUUGCUUGUUCUCAUGCUAUUGAAAUUGGUUUUGCAGACUUUCCAUAAGAGAGCAGAUGUAGAUUACCCAAGUGAUUGCCACCACAGGUCUUGACCCUGUAUGCAGAUCUGAGGAAAUAUCACAACAUAAAAGUUUUGCUCACCACCUGAUUGCGUUCCUGAUUGCUUUUUCUUUGGUCAUUUCAUGGGAAGGGCUGCAGCUGGACAGCAAGAUGCAGUCCAGUGUCUGACCUCCAGCAUGGCUGCAUCUACACUUCGAGGAAAACCUGGGGAGAUGCAUCUGAAAUACCCUCUGGAAUUCA